CAGAUGUAUCCACAUGAUUGUUUACUUGUCUCCCAGAUCUUAAGGUGUAAAUUGUAUUUACAUGGUUGAAUCGACCUUCAGAUUGGGAUUAUUGACUGGUUUGGGCUAUUGGGUUAGGUUUUGGUUGGCUUGAUAAUUUUUUUUUCUCUUUCACUAAUGGUGGUAGCCAAUUAUCCUAAUUGCAUCUUUAAUCAGACUAUU
This 201-nucleotide long non-coding RNA is filed under the name Elaeis guineensis (African oil palm). Its description in RNAcentral is "long non-coding RNA (EGUI_LNC014923)". Lineage: Eukaryota; Viridiplantae; Streptophyta; Magnoliopsida; Arecales; Arecaceae. The record is from RNAcentral.